CAAUAGCGUAUAUUAAAGUUGUUGCGGUAAAAAAGCUCGUAGUUGGAUUUCUACCGAAGAUAGCCGGUCGGGUCUUCGACCUUGUAUCUGGUUUUGUCUUUGGUAUCCUCAUAGGGAACGUUUCUGCGCUUUAUUGCGUGGUGCGGUAUCUAUGACUUUUACUUUGAGGAAAUUUGAGUGUUCACGGCAGGCAAACGCCUUGAAUAUAUUAGCAUGGAAUAAUAACAUAGGAUCUUCGUCCUAUUUUGUUGGUUUCUAGGGCUAAGAUAAUGAUUAAUAGGGAUAAUUGGGGGCAUCUGUAUCAACGCGUCAGAGGUGGAAUUCUUGGAUUGCGUUGCGACAAACUACUGCGAAAGCAUUUGCCAAGGAUGUUUUCAUUGA
Molecule: ribosomal RNA, 381 nt
Filed under: uncultured eukaryote
Lineage: Eukaryota
Description: partial 18S ribosomal RNA
Rfam family: Eukaryotic small subunit ribosomal RNA
Source: RNAcentral